RNAcentral lists this ribosomal RNA (253 nucleotides) under uncultured bacterium. RNAcentral describes it as "partial 16S ribosomal RNA". It matches the Rfam family "Bacterial small subunit ribosomal RNA", at positions 524 to 776 of the family's 1533-position model. The record is from RNAcentral.
UACGUAUGGUGCAAGCGUUAUCCGGAUUUACUGGGUGUAAGGGGAGCGCAGGCGGCGCGUUAAGCCUGGUGUGAAAGCCCGCGGCCCAACCGCGGGACUGCAUUGGGAACUGGCGCGCUGGAGUGCCGGAGGGGUAGGCGGAGUUCCUAGUGUAGCGGUGAAAUGCGUAGAUAUUAGGAGGAACACCAGUGGCGAAGGCGGCCUACUGGACGGUGACUGACGCUGAGGCUCGAAAGCGUGGGGAGCAAACAGG